RNAcentral lists this ribosomal RNA (686 nucleotides) under uncultured Bacilli bacterium. RNAcentral's name for it is "bacterial SSU rRNA". It matches the Rfam family "Bacterial small subunit ribosomal RNA", at positions 63 to 720 of the family's 1533-position model. Lineage: Bacteria; Bacillati; Bacillota; Bacilli. The record is from RNAcentral.
CGAACGCUUCUUUUUCCACCGGAGCUUGCUCCACCGGAAAAAGAGGAGUGGCGAACGGGUGAGUAACACGUGGGUAACCUGCCCAUCAGAAGGGGAUAACACUUGGAAACAGGUGCUAAUACCGUAUAACAAUCAAAACCGCAUGGUUUUGAUUUGAAAGGCGCUUUCGGGUGUCGCUGAUGGAUGGACCCGCGGUGCAUUAGCUAGUUGGUGAGGUAACGGCUCACCAAGGCCACGAUGCAUAGCCGACCUGAGAGGGUGAUCGGCCACAUUGGGACUGAGACACGGCCCAAACUCCUACGGGAGGCAGCAGUAGGGAAUCUUCGGCAAUGGACGAAAGUCUGACCGAGCAACGCCGCGUGAGUGAAGAAGGUUUUCGGAUCGUAAAACUCUGUUGUUAGAGAAGAACAAGGAUGAGAGUAACUGUUCAUCCCUUGACGGUAUCUAACCAGAAAGCCACGGCUAACUACGUGCCAGCAGCCGCGGUAAUACGUAGGUGGCAAGCGUUGUCCGGAUUUAUUGGGCGUAAAGCGAGCGCAGGCGGUUUCUUAAGUCUGAUGUGAAAGCCCCCGGCUCAACCGGGGAGGGUCAUUGGAAACUGGGAGACUUGAGUGCAGAAGAGGAGAGUGGAAUUCCAUGUGUAGCGGUGAAAUGCGUAGAUAUAUGGAGGAACACCAGUGGCGAAG